UGAGUAACCUGCCCUUAACUCUGGGAUAAGCCUGAAAAACUGGGUCUAAUACCGGAUAUGACUCCUCAUCGCAUGGUGGGGGGUGGAAAGCUUUUUUGUGGUUUUGGAUGGACUCGCGGCCUAUCAGCUUGUUGGUGAGGUAACGGCUCACCAAGGCGACGAUCAGUAGCUGGUCUGAGAGGAUGAUCAGCCUCACUGGGACUGAGACACGGCCCAGACUCCUAGGGAGG
RNAcentral lists this ribosomal RNA (230 nucleotides) under uncultured bacterium. RNAcentral's name for it is "partial 16S ribosomal RNA". It matches the Rfam family "Bacterial small subunit ribosomal RNA", at positions 118 to 348 of the family's 1533-position model. The record is from RNAcentral.